This 465-nucleotide ribosomal RNA is filed under the name uncultured Selenomonas sp. RNAcentral describes it as "bacterial SSU rRNA". It matches the Rfam family "Bacterial small subunit ribosomal RNA", at positions 338 to 795 of the family's 1533-position model. The record is from RNAcentral. Lineage: Bacteria; Bacillati; Bacillota; Negativicutes; Selenomonadales; Selenomonadaceae.
CCUACGGUGGGCAGCAGUGGGGAAUCUUCCGCAAUGGGCGCAAGCCUGACGGAGCAACGCCGCGUGAGUGAAGAAGGUCUUCGGAUCGUAAAGCUCUGUUGAUGGGGACGAACGUGCGAAGGGUGAAUAAUCCUUUGUAAUGACGGUAACUAUCGAGGAAGCCACGGCUAACUACGUGCCAGCAGCCGCGGUAAUACGUAGGUGGCGAGCGUUGUCCGGAAUCAUUGGGCGUAAAGGGAGCGCAGGCGGGCAUAUAAGUCUUUCUUAAAAGUGCGGGGCUCAACCCCGGGAUGGGAAAGAAACUAUAUGUCUUGAGUACAGGAGAGGAAAGCGGAAUUCCCAGUGUAGCGGUGAAAUGCGUAGAUAUUGGGAGGAACACCAGUGGCGAAGGCGGCUUUCUGGACUGCAACUGACGCUGAGGCUCGAAAGCCAGGGGAGCGAACGGGAUUAGAUACCCCGGUAGUC